Molecule: ribosomal RNA, 465 nt
Filed under: uncultured bacterium
Lineage: Bacteria
Description: partial 16S ribosomal RNA
Rfam family: Bacterial small subunit ribosomal RNA
Source: RNAcentral
GACGAACGCUGGCGGCGUGCUUAACACAUGCAAGUCGAACGGAAAGGCCCCUUUGGGGGUACUCGAGUGGCGAACGGGUGAGUAACACGUGAGUAACCUGCCCUUGACUUCGGGAUAACUUCAGGAAACUGGGGCUAAUACCGGAUAGGAAUCCUUGCUGCAUGGUGGGGGUUGGAAAGCUUCGGCGGUUUUGGAUGGACUCGCGGCUUAUCAGCUUGUUGGUGGGGUAGUGGCUUACCAAGGCUUUGACGGGUAGCCGGCCUGAGAGGGCGACCGGCCACAGUGGGACUGAGAUACGGCCCAGACGCCUACGGGAGGCAGCAGUGGGGAAUAUUGCACAAGGGGCGGAAGCCUGAUGCAGCAACGCCGCGUGCGGGAUGACGGCCUUCGGGUUGUAAACCGCUUUCAGCAGGGGCGAAGCUUGUGGUGACGGUACCUGCAGAAGAAGCACCGGCUAACUACGUG